GUCUACAGUCCUUCCAUCCUGAGUGUACUUGAUCUGGUCUGAUCUCAGAGCUCAGCAGGAGCGGAUCUGGUUAGUACUUGUAGACUGCCAGGGAAGAUUGAGUGCUGUAGACU
Molecule: ribosomal RNA, 113 nt
Filed under: Microcebus murinus (gray mouse lemur)
Lineage: Eukaryota; Metazoa; Chordata; Mammalia; Primates; Cheirogaleidae
Source: RNAcentral